RNAcentral lists this long non-coding RNA (1262 nucleotides) under Cyanistes caeruleus (blue tit). RNAcentral describes it as "lncRNA (ENSCCEG00000002185.1)". Lineage: Eukaryota; Metazoa; Chordata; Aves; Passeriformes; Paridae. The record is from RNAcentral.
UACCUGUCCAGGUGUCCCCAGGUGUGUCCAGGUGGGAUUUGAGGGCUGGGACAGGUGGGAUUUACCUGUCCAGGUGUGUCCAGGUGUGCUCAGGUGUGUCCAGGUGGGGCCAGGUGGGAUUUGAGGGCUGGGACAGGUGGGAUUUACCUGUACAGGUGUGCUCAGGUGUGUACAGGUGUGUCCAGGUGUGUCCAGGUGUGCUCAGGUGUGUCCAGGUGGGGUGUGAGAGCUUGGACAGGUGUGUCCAGGUGUGUCCAGGUGUGUCCAGGUGUGUCCAGGUGGGGUCUGAGAGCUUGGACAGGUGUGCUCAGGUGUGUUUGGGUGUCCCCAGGUGUCCCCAGGUGUCCCCAGGUGUGCUCGGGUGGGAUUUCGGGGUGUUCUGGGCUGGAAUUUCGGGGGGAGGGGUUUAACCCUUUCCGUUCCUUCUCUCUCUCCGCUGCCUCCCAAGGAGCCCGGGUAAGUCCCGCCCCCAAAAUUCCCAUUUUUUACCCCAAAAUUCCCAUUUUUUACCCCAAAAUUUCCCUUUUUUACCCCAAAAUUUCCCAUUUUCAUCCCAAAAUUCCCAUUUUUUACCCCAAAAUUCCCAUUUUUUACCCCAAAAUUCCCAUUUUCAUCACAAAAUUCCCAUUUUUUACCCCAAAAUUUCCCUUUUCAUCCCAAAAUUCUCAUUUUUUACCCCAAAUUUCCCUUUUUAGCCCCAAAAUUUCCAUUUUCUUCCCAAAAUUUCCCUUUUUAGCCCAAAAUUCCCAUUUUCAUCCCAAAAUUCCCAUUUUUUACCCCAAAAUUUCCCAUUUUCAUCCCAAAAUUCCCAUUUUUUACCCCAAAAUUCCCCUUUUUUACCCCAAAAUUCCCUUUUUUUACCCCAAAAUUCCCCUUUUUUACCCCAAAUUUCCCAUUUUCAUCCCAAAAUUUCCCUUUUUAGCCCAAAAUUCCCAUUUUCAUCCCAAAAUUCCCAUUUUUUACCCCAAAUUUCCCUUUUUAGCCCCAAAAUUUCCAUUUUUCUUCCCAAAAUUUCCCUUUUUAGCAUAAAAUUUCCCGUUUUUAUCCCAAAAUUCCCGUUUUUUACCCCAAAAUUUCCCAUUUUCAUCCCAAAAUUUCUCAUUUUCUUCCCAAAAUUUCUUUUUUUAACCCAAAAUUUCUCAUUUUCCUCCCAAAACUUCCCAAAAUUAUUAUUAUUAUUUAUCAUUAAAUAAUUUAUUAUUGCCUAAUAAUUCAUUAUAAAUUAGUGAUACAAAAAAAAAUUUAAUUUAUGGAUUUUUUUU